GCUAAAAAUGGCCCAGGGGAGACUGCA
RNAcentral lists this non-coding RNA (27 nucleotides) under Homo sapiens (human). The record is from RNAcentral. Lineage: Eukaryota; Metazoa; Chordata; Mammalia; Primates; Hominidae.